AUGAGGGGACAUCCUCCACAAAUAUUGGGAAUUAUGGUCUAUAAGAGGACAUAAGGGAUAACCAUUUCUUUCAUCCAAAACACUAAACACAAAAUUCCAAUAUCUCUUUCUCCACUUGUUGAGUUCGGCCGAAACCCAACACCCACCCACCAUCACUUUCAAGUUUGAUUCUUGUAAUUUUUCAUAUACACAAGGGUGAAGGGUCACACACAAGGAGGCUUGGUGCUUACGGAAUCACAAGGACCUCACUACAUCGCUAUUAACCAUCCAUUUUUCGUCUAGUUUCUUCCCUAGCCUCGAGCUAGUAGUUACGACGUUAAUUAAGCAAAUCCGGUGAAGUUUACGACGCACAGGAACGCAAAGUUGUAACUAGGAUGGAUGUGCGCGUGAUCUUACUUAUGCUCGUGGAUGUCGCUUAUGUUUAUCUUUAAAUAAAGUUGUAAACUUUUAAGACAAUGUUUUAUGCGACCUAGCGAUGUAAACGCUAAACGUAUGUUUCAAAUUAUGGUAUUUGAAGUUAUUUUCAUGAGCAUGUAGUAUGUUUACCUUUCGUAUGCAAUGAGAACCUUUCAUGAUCACACCUCGUGCUUCCGCCGCAGAAAGGGGUGUGACAUUCCUCACACACGACUGUGUCGCAAAGAGGUAGGGCUGUAAACGAACCGAACGAACAUGAUAAAGGCCAUGUUCGUGUUCGUUCGUUAAGAAAAUUAACAUGUUCGCGAACUGUUCACGAACGCAUACCGAACAUAAGUUUAUGUUCGUGUUCGUUCGUUAAGGAAAUUCAGUUGUUCACGAAUAGUUCGUGAACACUGGUCUCGAACACAAACGAACGCAAGCAAAUAAAAACAAACGAAAACGAACAUUUAACUUGAAAAUAAAAACAUUGUUAUCCUUAAACAUUGAAUAUAAGUAGUUAAAUACAACAAUCAAAUGAUAAAUCAAAACACAAGAAGUCUAAUAGAUCACCAAACGAUGAAUCAAGUUUAACUAGUUUAGAUAUAAUUAUCGCAAAAAAUGUCUUAGAAUGUCCAAAUUUUAGUUAACUUAGAAAAAAUAGGGUUUCAAGUUUUCAAUAUGUUUAGAUAAAGGGUUUAUUAUUUAUUAUUUUUUUGAUAUAAGCAAACGGACACGAAUGAACGUAAACGAACAUAUUACCAAACGUUCACGAACGUAGUCGAACGAACGAGACCUGUGUUCGUGUUCGUUCUGUAACAUUUCGUAUUUUCAAACUUUCCAUUUUUGGAAAGUCUACUUGUACUUUCUACUUUUGUAAGUUGUACCUUUGUUGUACUUGAUUCAAAUUCCAAAAUUUUACUCGAGACUUGAAAUCAUAAUAAAAUUGCAUGAUU
This 1349-nucleotide long non-coding RNA is filed under the name Helianthus annuus (common sunflower). RNAcentral's name for it is "hypothetical non coding rna". Lineage: Eukaryota; Viridiplantae; Streptophyta; Magnoliopsida; Asterales; Asteraceae. The record is from RNAcentral.